This 254-nucleotide ribosomal RNA is filed under the name uncultured bacterium. Its description in RNAcentral is "partial 16S ribosomal RNA". It matches the Rfam family "Bacterial small subunit ribosomal RNA", at positions 524 to 776 of the family's 1533-position model. The record is from RNAcentral.
UACAGAGGUCUCAAGCGUUGUUCGGAUUCAUUGGGCGUAAAGGGUGCGUAGGUGGUUCGGUAAGUCGGAUGUGAAAUCUCCAGGCUCAACCUGGAGGGGUCAUUCGAUACUGCCGUGACUAGAGUUCGGUAGAGGAGUGUGGAAUUCCUGGUGGAGCGGUGAAAUGCGCAGAGAUCAGGAGGAACACCCGUAGCGAAGGCGGCACUCUGGGCCGAUACUGACACUGAGGAGCGAAAGCGUGGGGAGCGAACAGG